CACGGCUGUUCACUGGUAAUGAUCGAAACAUGUACUGUCAGGAAUAGGGGGUUCAUGAGAUGUGGUUGCUGGUAGAUAGCAACUAUCAUAUAAACAUAAACCUGUGUGGUCUGGAGGUGGACACAUUGAGCACUGAAAGUUUUAUAUGUAAAACUUUAUAUUUAGCAAUGUAUUUUAAAAUAUAACACAUCAUUCUGUGUCAAUUACUACAAAAAUAGCCUUUUGAAAUCAGAUGACUUUUCUCAUACAUGCCAUACACUCCACCCUUACUCUUGGUACCCCAUUUGUAAAAAUCCUGGAAAAACCCUUGUACAUGUGCUAGCUUUUUGGCAUACAUAUUAAGUGUCCACGAGGACAUAAAAACUAUUUAAAAGUUUUCUAAUUCUUCAAACUUCCCUAAAGUUUUUUUUUUUCUACCAGCAUGUUUACCGUUUUCAUGUCACUUUUUUCAUAAUGCCCCGGGUUUCAUUAACUGGGAAAGGAAAAUAAAAAGGAAAAAGACGUAAAAAAAAGAAAAAAAAAAAAGCAGUUUUCUUAUUUUGCUCACCGUGACCGAAAGAGAAACAGCUAACCACACUCCCGGCAUCCAGUCGUUUCGCUACCGUGGGAUUUAAAGUAUUUUUCAUCGCUUUCGUCGGUACCCACCCUUGACCCUGACACCUGAAAGCGGUGGGAUGCACCCCGACACAUCCCACUGGUUUUUUGGAGACGACGGCCACGUGACCGAGGUAGCGGCAGCAUCCGCGCGCACACCGCCGCUGUUCGUUUGAUAGCAUCCACAGCGCCGGACGGAGAAGAGAGCGGGACAGAGAGAGAGAGAAAAAGAGAGGGAGAUAGGAAGAAACAGUCGUCGAGGGAAGACGAACAAAAUCUCCGUCUUGCUGACUCCUUCACCAGACACGGCGGGCACACCAUGGACGGCUAUGGCCGGACCGAAGAUGAGCUGUUCUCCUCCUGCCUCGUGAACCUCACCUGGGAGACGUGCUACGAGCAGACUCGACGAUACAGGGAAGCCACCACCUGCACACAGGGAAGCCAAGAGACACUGAGGUGGUGCCAAGGGCAACAGUUGAGAAGAAGACACUCCUGAAACUCAUUCAGGAGCCAUGGUUUUACUACCAAAGUAGAUCAACGUUCUAGCAAUGACUGGCAGUCAUCCCACGCCUUAAGGAGGAGCCCCAUGAUUGCACUUUUCCCAAAGGUGGGGAGCGAGCCACAUGUGAGUUGGGCAGAGACUCAAGAGUCCUGCCCAUAGACGACAUAGGGAGAGAGAGAGAGACAGUCCACUGGGGCACCCGGUUUUUUAAAGCUUGGGUUAAAUUUUAUAUGUCCAUUUGGGUCCCAGUGCGGAAAAUUUCAUCAUCACAUUGUUAGCUUGAGG
RNAcentral lists this long non-coding RNA (1381 nucleotides) under Oreochromis niloticus (Nile tilapia). Its description in RNAcentral is "lncRNA (ENSONIG00000037427.1)". Lineage: Eukaryota; Metazoa; Chordata; Actinopteri; Cichliformes; Cichlidae. The record is from RNAcentral.